UCGUAGUCUACAAUUACAGUCGUUCUUGAAAACUGGAAAGUCCAAAACAAU
This 51-nucleotide small RNA is filed under the name Caenorhabditis elegans. RNAcentral's name for it is "Unclassified non-coding RNA ZK84.12". The record is from RNAcentral. Lineage: Eukaryota; Metazoa; Nematoda; Chromadorea; Rhabditida; Rhabditidae.